Alligator mississippiensis (American alligator) is the source of this 3794-nucleotide RNA transcript. It is a transcript of the gene named family with sequence similarity 78 member B, with no coding region annotated. The record is from RefSeq and is a predicted model, not a curated record. Lineage: Eukaryota; Metazoa; Chordata; Crocodylia; Alligatoridae. The transcript is spliced from 4 exons.
CCGGCGGCGGCGGCGGCGGCGCAGGUGUCCGGCCGGGCCGCCCCGGGAGGCGAUGAGCGGGCGCUGCCGAUGCCGCGGGCGGGGCCAUGGGCUGCAUCCAGAGCAUCGCCUGCAAGGCGCGCGUGCGGCGGGAGAACAUCGUGGUGUACGACGUGUCGGCCACCAUCGAGCCCAGCGCCACGGCCAUCGAGGAGAGCUCGCCCAUCGUGCUGCGCUACCGCACGCCCUACUUCCGCGCCGCCGCGCGCGUCCUCAUGCCUCCCAUCCCGCGCCGCCACACCUGGGUGGUGGGCUGGAUCCAGGCCUGCAACCACAUGGAGUUCUACAACACCUACAGCGACCUGGGCAUGUCAAGCUGGGAACUUCCUGACUUGCGAGAAGGGAGAGUAAAAGCCAUCAGUGACUCAGAUGGGGUGAGUUACCCCUGGUAUGGGAACACCACAGAAACAGUGACCUUGGUUGGGCCCACUAACAAGAUCUCCAGAUUUUCGGUCAGUAUGAAUGACAAUUUUUACCCCAGCGUGACGUGGGCUGUCCCGGUGAGUGACAGCAAUGUGCCACUGCUGACCAGAAUUAAGAGGGACCAGAGCUUUACCACGUGGCUAGUGGCAAUGAACACCACCACCAAGGAAAAAAUCAUCCUGCAGACUAUAAAAUGGAGGAUGCGAGUGGACAUUGAGGUUGAUCCCAUGCAACUCCUGGGGCAGCGAGCCCGGCUUGUGGGCAGGACUCAGCAGGAGCAGCCCAGGAUCCUGAGCAGAAUGGAACCCAUCCCGCCAAAUGCACUAGUGAAACCCAAUGCCAACGAUGCCCAAGUCCUCAUGUGGCGACCCAAGAGAGGCCAGCCUAUUGUCGGUAUUUUGGCUGGAAAAGAAGCUUUCUUACCAGAACAAUUCAUAUUCUCUUGCAGUAAAAUGCAAGGAGCAAGAAUAUGAUCAAACAGUGCCUGUGGCAAAUGCUGCUUCCCAACCAAUUUAGAUGUAGAAAUGGAGACCAUGCCUACCAAUGGCGUUUCUGUCUCCCUAGCUUUGGAUUUCCUAUGGCACCAUUGAAUUCAAGCUCUCUACAAUAAAAUGUGAAGCAAACAAGAACAUGUUGCAGGGGAGGCCCUUCAGCUCUGAAGGUAUCCAGAGCUAUGACAACAGACAGGUACACAAUUCAUAGGAUGUGCCCUAAGCAGAUAAAUUUCCUCUAAUCCAUUGCAAUCCUCCCCCAGCUUUUGUCCUCAAGGUGAAAAUCAUCCUACUUUCACAGCAUCUUAAGCUGAGCAGCAUUUAGAGAAGCAGAGCAAAGUUGUUGCUGUUGUGUGUGCAUGCAUGUGGAAGAGGGAGAAUUGAUAGCUUGUCUCAUCAGAACCUACUGGACAUGUAUAAGAGUGAGAUUGCAGUAGAACGCUUCAUGUUUCUCCAUUGCUGGAUGUUUUCUACUGCCUGCUAGUGCUACUCUACCUUUUACUUCAGGUUGUGUUUUUUUUAAUGCCUUUGGGGAAAAGCUCAUUUUCUUUUGAUUCCUCAGAGCUGCGUUCACAUUUGGAUCUCAGCUGGGCUUAGUUACUUGACAGCCAAAAACAAGCCAACUCAAAAUGGAACCGAGCUCUGUACAGUAGGAGUAGACAGGCCUCUAGCAUUGAAGAUAUUGAAAUCAGCAGGAAUUGGGUGCCAUAGUUAUUUUGGCCCUGAUCCAAUGCCGCUGAAGUCAAGUGGGAGUCUUGGCCUUGACUUCAAAGGGAUUGAUGCUUGCCUUGAGCAGUGACAUCGUGCCCAGAUACAGUGCCCUCAAGGCUUUCUGGUAUUAUGGUGAACCUCAAGGUCAGAUUGUGUGUCAUCAAGCCCCUAGAGAAGCAAUGUCCUGGUGUGAUGCCAUCCCAUAGGAAACAGUAGGCUGGAAGGUUUCCUAUUUGAAAUGCUUAUGGUUUCCUUCCCCGUUCCCAUUACUGUAGCCAGCAUCUUGUAUCUCAGGGAGGGACAGGGGAUCCAGGUCAUGGAAAAGUGCACCUACCUACGUUCUCCUAUUUCUGGGGUCCAGCCAACGUACAGGACCAUUCACUAGGGCCUCACACGUUGGACUACUUUUUUCCUUUGCUGCUUUUCAUUUUCACAGCUGUGCCUGUCGCUGAGUUCCACUGGCAGCAUGAAAUUACCACCCUGAAAGCAGCUCUUGAAGCAGUGCCAGCUGCCCAGAAGCAGGAAGCACCAUGAGCCUCACAAGAGAGCCUGUUCUUACUUGCUGUCUAGGCAAAUUGAUGUUGAGCCUGGAGUGAGAAUUUAAAACCAUUGCCAUUGAAAGCCACAUGCCUGCCUGAGACCAUUUAGAGCUGUGCUGUGGCAACUGUGCAUUGAAACCCUGCCGCCUGCCGCACACCCUUUAUGCCAAGGGUGUCAAACUCGUUGGGCCUCAUAGGCCAGAUCCAGAUCAUAAAGUGUCCUGCCAGCCAGAUAACCUGUGAGUGAUAGUGGUGGCAUUAAUCUCCUCACUGUUUUGGUGUGCCUCUGCUGCUUGCCCCUUCUUUUCCCCUGCUGCUGAUUUUAGUCACCAGGGAUGACUAAAAACCCCAACUGUGGCAGCACGCAAGGACUAGGGAGUAAGGGAGGCAAACAGUGUUAACUCCUGAGUUCUGAAGCUGUGGUGAAACAGCAAGGAUUAAUGCCACCACCACAAGGACUCUGGCAGCUCGUGGCAUUGAGUCCUAUAGGCCAUAUCUGGCCCACAGAGAUGUGUUGUCCAUCCCAUGAGAACCCUGAGGCCAGAUGAUGGAGUCUGCAGGCUGGAUCUAGUCCACAGGCUGUAUGUUUGACACCCCUGUUAUACUAUGGUUACCCUAGAGGAGUUUUCAUAAACAAUGUGCAUGUGUGUGUGCACACAUGUUCUGUAAUGCCUGUGUGUGUGCGUGCACGCGUCACACCCAAUGUAACACUGUUUUAGGAGUGGACUCACUGGGGGCGCAGGGAGCCUUCCUGCAACCAGAAUGGCAAUCAAAGCCACUCAAGGAGACUGUCCCAUGUAUGUGCAAGCUGUUUUAUGUACUUAUUUAUUUAUUGUACUUAUUUAUUGUAUUUAUUUAUUUAUUUAUUUGCAUUUUAUUUAAUGUUAUGUUUAUAAAAUGGAGGCCAUAGCAAACGCCUGUAGCCACUCUAAAUGGGCUUUUUUUUCUUUUCUUUUUUUGUGGGGGAGGUCCUCUUAAAAGGCCUGUUUGGGCUGCAUCAAGAGACUUGCACAGAGAGAAGUUUAAUUCCUGUACAUUGCUUGUUGUCGUAAGUUUGUAACCUACCUCCCAUAUUUCCUUCACAACAUCAUUUGAGGAGAAACGAACAAAAAAAAAAAAGAGUAGAUAUGCCAGUAUAAAUUGAUAUCGUCCUCCUCCUCCUUUGACCUCUUCUUUUUCUAGCAUGCUGAAAUUCCCUCCCCCUACACAUCACUUCCUUCCUCCCCUGACUAUUCUCAUCCUGUUCUCCAUGUCCUCCUAUUUGUUUAUCAGCCUGAUCUUCUUUUUUUAUUCUUCCUUGACUCACGCUGUAUUGGAUGUUGCCAAUUUCUGGAGAUGAUGUUAAAAGCAAGAGUGUGUGGGUGUCACUAUGGAGAGAAAAGGAAAGGGGUGGGGGGAAGAACUGGGUAUUUCUGCUGCCGCACAGGAAAGAUCAGAAGGAAGAGGAGAUGAAAGCUGGUUUUGCAGAGUGCCUUAAAAAAUGACUUUCACAACUAGGGGGUUCUGAUUCUUCUGUCCUUGGAUGUUGUUGAAAACUCAAACAAAUGUUGCAUUUCACUUCUCUGGGAUUAAAACAAAAACUGAGUAUGUA